Molecule: long non-coding RNA, 2879 nt
Filed under: Triticum aestivum (bread wheat)
Lineage: Eukaryota; Viridiplantae; Streptophyta; Magnoliopsida; Poales; Poaceae
Description: long non-coding RNA (TAES_LNC006287)
Source: RNAcentral
UUUUACCAAACUUUGACUGUAGAUUUAACUAAUAAAAUGUUGCAUGUGGAUUCACAUUUAAACAAAGUUUUUAAUGAUAUUAUUUUUGCUACAUACAAUAUGUAUUUUAUGAGUUAAAAUAAUGAUCAAAAUAUGAAUUUAAAUACGAGAAGGACUAAUAAACCAGGACCAAGGUAGUAAUUCAUGUGACUUCUCUUUGAUACAACAACAUUACACUAGUAGUUCCGUCCUAGUUUAUUGCUAUUUUAUUGCUAUUUUACCAAACUUUGGCUAUAGAUUUAACUAAUAAAAUGUUGCAUGUCACUGGAAGUUAUAUCGCUGGAUUCACAUUUAAACAUAGUUUUUAAUAAUAUUGUUUUUGCUAGAUACAACAUGUAUUUUAUGAGUUAAAAUAAUGAUCAAAAUAUGAAUCUAAAUACGAGAAGGAGUAAUAAACCAGGACCGAGGUAGUAAUUCAUGUGACUUCUCUUUGAUUUGACUGUAUAUACGAUUCUUGUUUUUGCCUUUCUUAACCAAAUGCACAAGUCUAUAGAAUUAAUACGUUUUCAUAUCCCAUGUUUUGGGGUUGAAUUCCAGCCCUAAUCUUAUGAUUUUAUGCUUUAAUUUGUUGCUGUUCCAACAUUAUCACCAAGAGGCUUUUAGCAAACUCAGCCCAAUCACAAAAGCAUGAAAUCUGGCAACUCAUUGUAUUAUUUGGUCUUCCUCGAGAAAGAUUAUACACAAGACAGGGAACGGAACUAGAUUCCGAUUUAUAAUAUAGGGGGUUUCCUUUAUAACAUGAUAGAAAAGCAUUGCUUUUUCUACACCCCAUUUUGGAAAAUAAUUCACGCAUUUUAAAUCCUUUGAAUCGGUAAAAUCAUGCCAUUUCGCCUCCACUCUUUGGGAAUGGCAUUAAAACAAGGUCAAUUUGAACCCUAAUUUUCUAGGUUUUUCAAUUCAAAGCUUUUUAAUCGGUUAAAAAUCAAUAAAACGAUCAUAGAAAAAUGUAAUUGACAAAGACACCUCACUAUACAGGUAUGGUACUUAUGUAAGCGUGCAGGACCUCAAAUGUAGCUAUCGAAAGGGUGUGUGGUACCGUCUGUCCUAUAGUACUCUGAAAUUGAAGAGACUGCAUACAACUUGAUUAACCAGUACAUGCAUACAGUGCCUUUUGGAUAGCUUCAACGGGCAAUGGCAACCUUGGUCGACUAGAAGGUACGUGCAAUGCGCACGGUGACAUGCAAACGGCAGUUGAAGUGAAACCUGCUGUACCAUACCGUUUUGAAUGAAAAUUAUGAUUACCCCCAGCCUGAAUGAUGAACACAGCAAUUUACUAAAAUGAACCAAGUAUUAAAGUAUCAAGAGCAGCUCAGGUACAUGAAACCAAAAUUUACAUGACGAAAUGCCAAAAAAAGAACCAACAUUGCAGUUUUAGUAACUACAUGACAUAUCUUGGUACAUUGAGAGAUUGACCAUAAAUUACUUUCUUUGCAUGUACAUAGUAUGUGUGAUACAGUAUUGAUGCCAUUAGCUGUAGUUGUAUUUACAAGUAGCCCCAUGUUUUGAACUUGACUAUAAACAAAAAUUUCAAACUUUGACUAGAAACACCUUUUUAAUUACUUAUAUUGGAAUUUCAGAAAGUAUUUGUAGGAUCUAUAAACAAAAAAAUGAAACUUCAACCAGAAAUAGCUUUUUAAUUACUUAUAUUGGAGUUUCAGAAAGUAUUUAAAGUUUCAUUUGAAGAUGGUUUCAGUUUUUCAAAACGGUAAACCUGUGAUUGUAUAUAGCAUCCUAAUUUUAUAACAAGAUUUCUUUCUCUAGAGAAAGUCCUACUGUUUUCCUCAAAAAGAAAAGAAAAAACAAGGUAUUUACCUGAGAGUGAACUGCUUCUAAACUACUAUAUAUCUACCAUCCCUUGGUGAAGACAUUCCAAGACGUAUUCCACCAUUUUGCAAAUCACAAGCCCGAAAUUGCCAGCUUAAAACGAAAUGCCCAAACAAAGACUUGCCAAGACAAACUUAAUUUCUACAAGUACUAUUGUGAUAAAAACAGGGACUGUGCAAAGGGACUACAUGAGACCAAAUGGCAGCAGAUAGGAACUCUUAAUCAUCAAAAAGACACCUUAAAACACAUGGACAACACAUGGACGGAGUAAUUCAGCGUUAUUACUUGUGAUCCCUGAACUGGCACUAUCACAGCUUAUCAGGAGAAUGUAAGUCUCGGUAUAUUAAUAAAUAAAUAAAAACAAAGUUAGUCGACUACACAGAAUUUGUGUGUAGAGUAACCAUGUAGAGUAACAAGUACCAGCAUAAACUAUCAGAAUAUGUUUCGGACCAUAACAGAUCAAAUGGCAAACACAUGUGGCAGAUGAACAACAAUGGUAGGUAGUUUUGAAACUUACUGAUACCAUGAGAAAAAUAAGUGGUGAAGAUUGGUGAUUACACUAACAAGCAGGUGGGAAUUAAUGUCUCUAUGCAACUACAUGAAUCAGUGAUAUAUUGAACAAUAGUGUAAUACACACAUUAAUAGGGGGAAACUCGCAUUCAGGAGUACAAUAACAGGAAAGAAUUUAUACAACAGGCAUCUUUGGAUGACACCCAUGUCAUGCAUGCUAGACGCUACAACUACAGGGAGAAGGCAUUACAUGUGGAAUUUAAGUGCAGUAAGCAUUUAUCAUCACUAAGAGCAAGUUAGCAAAACAAAGGGAAUGGGACCAUUGGGCUAUCUUACGCUCUGGCAACUUAAUUAGUCAUCAGUCAUCUUUGGAGUACUACCACUAGAAUUUAUUUACUUGCAUUUUAUCAUAGCAAUAUGUGCCCAAUUAAUGCCUAAAACAAGAAACUAACCAGCAUGGAAGAAAGGAAAGAAACGGGGGAAGGUGAAAAGGACUUGCAUUAUAC